AGUAAUGUAACUACCCUUACCCUCGGGGCGCGCCGAGCUCAGACCCACGCUCGCCAGGGCGUCCUCCCGUAGGAGCUCGGUCAGGUCGUAGCCCUUCCCGAGGGCUCGGAGAGAAUCCAGGGUCCUCUGCUCCCUCCCCGAGGGCUCGGAGAGCUUGUUAAGGGCCUUCAACCGAGGGUGUCCCCACCUCGGAUUAAACCUCCACGGCGCCUCAGACGCCAGAAAGAAAAAUUUCCCCUUCCACUCGUGUAUAGAGGAAGGGGCCCCGCGGAAGAGCGACAUACCGCCUCGGAAGGCAAAGUAUAGCCACUCCGCGUCCGCCGGGUUCUUCUUCAACAGAAAACACCGGCGGAAAAUACUCACUGA
This 366-nucleotide long non-coding RNA is filed under the name Phoenix dactylifera (date palm). Its description in RNAcentral is "long non-coding RNA (PDAC_LNC003462)". Lineage: Eukaryota; Viridiplantae; Streptophyta; Magnoliopsida; Arecales; Arecaceae. The record is from RNAcentral.